AUUGAACGCUGGCGGCAUGCCUUACACAUGCAAGUCGAACGGCAGCAUGGGUGCUUGCACCUGAUGGCGAGUGGCGAACGGGUGAGUAAUGCAUCGGAACGUGCCCUGAAGUGGAGGAUAACGUAGCGAAAGUUACGCUAAUACCGCAUAUUCUGUGAGCAGGAAAGAGGGGGAUCGCAAGACCUCUUGCUUUAGGAGCGGCCGAUGUCGGAUUAGCUAGUUGGUGGGGUAAAGGCCUACCAAGGCGACGAUCCGUAGCGGGUCUGAGAGGAUGAUCCGCCACACUGGGACUGAGACACGGCCCAGACUCCCACGGGAGGCAGCAGUGGGGAAUUUUGGACAAUGGGCGCAAGCCUGAUCCAGCCAUGCCGCGUGAGUGAAAAAGGCCUUCGGGUUGUAAAGCUCUUUCGGUGGGGAAGAAAUUGCUUCGGCUAAUAUCCGGAGUAGAUGACGGUACCCGCAUAAGAAGCACCGGCUAACUACGUGCCAGCCGCCGCAGUAA
Molecule: ribosomal RNA, 502 nt
Filed under: uncultured bacterium
Lineage: Bacteria
Description: partial 16S ribosomal RNA
Rfam family: Bacterial small subunit ribosomal RNA
Source: RNAcentral